This 434-nucleotide long non-coding RNA is filed under the name Olea europaea subsp. europaea. The record is from RNAcentral. Lineage: Eukaryota; Viridiplantae; Streptophyta; Magnoliopsida; Lamiales; Oleaceae.
UCUGAGUUGUGGUGCUACGUUUGAUUUACACUAGCUACUUGCUAAAUUGUUGCACUUUUUGCUUACUCUAUUAUUUUGGUACAUAGAACUUUUCACUAGUAUUGUGGUGUUGUACAACCAUAAAUAGAAUGAAUAUUUUUCAACGUGUAAUGCUAUUGGGGCCAGGGAUUGGAUCCAGGGCCGAGGUGGUGUGACCUCAGCCCUGGAUCCAAUCCCUGGCCCCUGCGCCACCUCGCCUUGGAUCCAAUCCCUGCCCACUCCCUUGUAUUUGCAGCAGGGCUCUUUUUCAACUUGUAUUUCAAGUCUCUUUGCAGGAACCAAUGGUCCUUCUAGUAAUGGUACAUUUACAUGUACUUAAGUUGCCUUUACUUGAUGUUGCCAUAACUUCUGUUCAUUGUUUGAUUAUAUGGAGUGGCUAUUAGUUUUUAUCACUG